UACGUAGGGUGCGAGCGUUGUCCGGAAUUACUGGGUGUAAAGGGUGCGUAGGCGGGCAUGUGCGUCGGAGGUUAAAUACAACGGCUUAACCGUUGAACUGCCUUCGAAACGGCAUGUCUUGAAUGUGGGAGAGGAUGGUGGAAUUCCUGGUGUAGCGGUGAAAUGCGUAGAUAUCGGGAGGAACACCAGUAGCGAAGGCGGCCAUCUGGAUGAUAACUGACGCUGAGGUGCGAGAGCGUGGGGAGCAAACAGG
This 253-nucleotide ribosomal RNA is filed under the name uncultured microorganism. Its description in RNAcentral is "partial 16S ribosomal RNA". It matches the Rfam family "Bacterial small subunit ribosomal RNA", at positions 524 to 776 of the family's 1533-position model. The record is from RNAcentral.